RNAcentral lists this ribosomal RNA (862 nucleotides) under Pseudomonas sp. Its description in RNAcentral is "bacterial SSU rRNA". It matches the Rfam family "Bacterial small subunit ribosomal RNA", at positions 56 to 914 of the family's 1533-position model. The record is from RNAcentral. Lineage: Bacteria; Pseudomonadati; Pseudomonadota; Gammaproteobacteria; Pseudomonadales; Pseudomonadaceae.
UGCAGUCGAGCGGUAGAGAGAAGCUUGCUUCUCUUGAGAGCGGCGGACGGGUGAGUAAUGCCUAGGAAUCUGCCUGGUAGUGGGGGAUAACGUCCGGAAACGGACGCUAAUACCGCAUACGUCCUACGGGAGAAAGCAGGGGACCUUCGGGCCUUGCGCUAUCAGAUGAGCCUAGGUCGGAUUAGCUAGUUGGUGGGGUAAUGGCUCACCAAGGCGACGAUCCGUAACUGGUCUGAGAGGAUGAUCAGUCACACUGGAACUGAGACACGGUCCAGACUCCUACGGGAGGCAGCAGUGGGGAAUAUUGGACAAUGGGCGAAAGCCUGAUCCAGCCAUGCCGCGUGUGUGAAGAAGGUCUUCGGAUUGUAAAGCACUUUAAGUUGGGAGGAAGGGCAGUAAAUUAAUACUUUGCUGUUUUGACGUUACCGACAGAAUAAGCACCGGCUAACUCUGUGCCAGCAGCCGCGGUAAUACAGAGGGUGCAAGCGUUAAUCGGAAUUACUGGGCGUAAAGCGCGCGUAGGUGGUUCGUUAAGUUGGAUGUGAAAUCCCCGGGCUCAACCUGGGAACUGCAUUCAAAACUGACGAGCUAGAGUAUGGUAGAGGGUGGUGGAAUUUCCUGUGUAGCGGUGAAAUGCGUAGAUAUAGGAAGGAACACCAGUGGCGAAGGCGACCACCUGGACUGAUACUGACACUGAGGUGCGAAAGCGUGGGGAGCAAACAGGAUUAGAUACCCUGGUAGUCCACGCCGUAAACGAUGUCAACUAGCCGUUGGGAGCCUUGAGCUCUUAGUGGCGCAGCUAACGCAUUAAGUUGACCGCCUGGGGAGUACGGCCGCAAGGUUAAAACUCAAAUGAAUUGAC